CAAGGAGCUGCCCUGGAGCCUGGGAAGAAAAAGCAAGGCAAUCAGGGAGAUGUAACAACUGAAGAGAGGUUUAUAGCUUCACAAUUUCUUUUUUGCUUUAAAACCAAAGUGAAUGAAAGAGUAAAAUAAUACAUCGAUUUGUGAAGAGACACAGGAAGUCCUCUCCUGAAGAAAAGCAAUGGCAUUGGGGCUGAGUCUUUCAGUCCAAGGAGAAGCCAGAUGAGGAGACGAUGCAGGAGAGGAGGCAGGCCACCGGCACUGGAAGAACAAUCUCCCCCAAGGCAGCAG
Molecule: non-coding RNA, 288 nt
Organism: Cricetulus griseus (Chinese hamster)
Lineage: Eukaryota; Metazoa; Chordata; Mammalia; Rodentia; Cricetidae
Source: RefSeq, a predicted model, not a curated record